AUUGAACGCUGGCGGCAGGCCUAACACAUGCAAGUCGAGCGGAUGAAGGGAGCUUGCUCCUGAAUUCAGCGGCGGACGGGUGAGUAAUGCCUAGGAAUCUGCCUGGUAGUGGGGGAUAACGUCCGGAGACGGGCGCUAAUACCGCAUACGUCCUGAGGGAGAAAGUGGGGGAUCUUCGGACCUCACGCUAUCAGAUGAGCCUAGGUCGGAUUAGCUAGUUGGUGGGGUAAAGGCCUACCAAGGCGACGAUCCGUAACUGGCCUGAGAGGAUGAUCAGUCACACUGGAACUGAGACACGGUCCAGACUCCUACGGGAGGCAGCAGUGGGGAAUAUUGGACAAUGGGCGAAAGCCUGAUCCAGCCAUGCCGCGUGUGUGAAGAAGGUCUUCGGAUUGUAAAGCACUUUAAGUUGGGAGGAAGGGCAGUAAGUUAAUACCUUGCUGUUUUGACGUUACCGACAGAAUAAGCACCGGCUAACUUCGUG
RNAcentral lists this ribosomal RNA (484 nucleotides) under uncultured bacterium. RNAcentral's name for it is "partial 16S ribosomal RNA". It matches the Rfam family "Bacterial small subunit ribosomal RNA", at positions 30 to 507 of the family's 1533-position model. The record is from RNAcentral.